UGCUUCUUUCUCAAUUAUCAGUCUUUUGCUCUCUCCAUCACGUUUGCAGUUUUGCUCCCAGCUUUCUCAUUUGCGCUUCCAGAGUCUUUGUUUGCAAUUCUGACACAAAACUCUCGCGUGGGCGGGUCUUACAGGGGUGCGUCCCCAUUGGCUAAUGAGUGUUAAGGGAAAGUUUGAGUGACAGCUCAGCUUCAGUGCAGGUAAACUAACAUUAGAGACUCAGAGUCUGGUCUGGAUGACACACAAGCCACUCCACAGCGGAUUCCUACAAGAUUAAUAAAGUAGACCUGCAGGACCCGAGCAGAGCUACGAUGCUCUCCCAGGUAACGUUAGGUCAGUAACGUAGCUAUAUGGUCUAUUAGGAAAAAUUAUUAUCCAGCAA
Sander lucioperca (pikeperch) is the source of this 382-nucleotide long non-coding RNA. RefSeq lists it as uncharacterized. The transcript is spliced from 3 exons. The record is from RefSeq and is a predicted model, not a curated record. Lineage: Eukaryota; Metazoa; Chordata; Actinopteri; Perciformes; Percidae.